AGGUUAGUUUUACCCUACUGAUGACCUUGCCCCAAUGGUAAUACCGCUUAGUACGAGAGGAACCGCGGAUUCAGAUAAUUGGUUUUUGCGGCUGUCCGACCGGGCAGUGCCGCGAAGCUACCAUCUGCUGGAUAAUAGCUGAACGCCUCUAAGUUAGAAUCCAUGCCAGAACGGGACGAUUUUCUCCAGCACGUCGUACGAGGAUACGAAUAGGCUUCGGCCCCGGACCUUAGCAGGCCAUAACUCCUCUUUCGUAGAAGUCGGAAGAGGUAAUUGGCGGAUAGCAAUUUGACAGCGCGCUGGGAUGAAUCCUUUGCAGACGA
Molecule: ribosomal RNA, 323 nt
Filed under: Cyclophora tenuis
Lineage: Eukaryota; Bacillariophyta; Fragilariophyceae; Cyclophorales; Cyclophoraceae
Description: partial Eukaryotic large subunit ribosomal RNA
Rfam family: Eukaryotic large subunit ribosomal RNA
Source: RNAcentral